RNAcentral lists this ribosomal RNA (511 nucleotides) under Bacillus cereus. Its description in RNAcentral is "bacterial SSU rRNA". It matches the Rfam family "Bacterial small subunit ribosomal RNA", at positions 49 to 544 of the family's 1533-position model. Lineage: Bacteria; Bacillati; Bacillota; Bacilli; Caryophanales; Bacillaceae. The record is from RNAcentral.
CUAUAGAUGCAGUCGAGCGAUGGAUUAGAGCUUGCUCUUAUGAAGUUAGCGGCGGACGGGUGAGUAACACGUGGGUAACCUGCCCAUAAGACUGGGAUAACUCCGGGAAACCGGGGCUAAUACCGGAUAAUAUUUUGAACCGCAUGGUUCGAAAUUGAAAGGCGGCUUCGGCUGUCACUUAUGGAUGGACCCGCGUCGCAUUAGCUAGUUGGUGAGGUAACGGCUCACCAAGGCAACGAUGCGUAGCCGACCUGAGAGGGUGAUCGGCCACACUGGGACUGAGACACGGCCCAGACUCCUACGGGAGGCAGCAGUAGGGAAUCUUCCGCAAUGGACGAAAGUCUGACGGAGCAACGCCGCGUGAGUGAUGAAGGCUUUCGGGUCGUAAAACUCUGUUGUUAGGGAAGAACAAGUGCUAGUUGAAUAAGCUGGCACCUUGACGGUACCUAACCAGAAAGCCACGGCUAACUACGUGCCAGCAGCCGCGGUAAUACGUAGUGGCAAGCGUUAU